RNAcentral lists this small RNA (1719 nucleotides) under Pan troglodytes (chimpanzee). Its description in RNAcentral is "processed transcript". The record is from RNAcentral. Lineage: Eukaryota; Metazoa; Chordata; Mammalia; Primates; Hominidae.
GUCUGCUAUCAUUUACCUUAUGGAUUCCUGUAUAUGCAACCCUGCCCAUGCUGCAUAUUAGAAACUUCUGCUCAGCUUUUAGAAAAUACUGGUGUUCUGGCCAACUUCACUUAAGACCAGUUAAAUUUGAAUCUUGGUUGGCGUGGCUCUGGGCAUUGGCGUUUAUUAAAAGCUCCCCGGAAACUGAAAAAACAACCUGAAAGUUGGCAAAGAAAGGAUUCUGUGGUUUUUCUAAGUCUCUCAAGCCAGUGGACAGCCACAGCACUCAGCAUAAUUGGGCUGAUUACUCUGAGUGCAAACCUUUUCACUGUUCCAGAGAGGAGCCUGACAACCACAUUCUCCUUCUCAAGGUUUUGAAAGAGUUGCAAAAUUUAUCAAAUGCAAAUGUUGAUUCAAGGAAUGGAACUGACAGAUAGGUGGUCCAGUGACUUUGGCUCAACAUGCCUCAGAACCACGGUUGACUUAAGAAAUCCAGUGAUUCAGCACAGAGGAAACCAGCUAGCCGCAGUCACUGAGGGAAUGGGGUGCAGCCAGGCCAGCUCUGCCUGCUUGUCAUUACUUACCUUUCAUUUGAUCAAAAACAAUGCAAUUUACUCGCAGGUCCUGGCCCUACACAACAGAUAUAAGAGUUCGGACCGCCCAGCACACAAGGUCAGCAUGCUCCUCCUCUGUCACGCUCUCGCUAUAGCUGUUGUCCAGAUCAUUAUCUUCUCAGAAAGCUGGGCAUUUGCCAAGAACAUCAACUUCUAUAAUGUGAGGCCUCCUCUCGACCCUACACCAUUUCCAAAUAGCUUCAAGUGCUUUACUUGUGAAAAUGCAGGGGAUAAUUAUAACUGCAAUCGAUGGGCAGAAGACAAAUGGUGUCCACAAAAUACACAGUACUGUUUGACAGUUCAUCACUUCACCAGCCAUGGAAGAAGCACAUCCAUCACCAAAAAGUGUGCCUCCAGAAGUGAAUGUCAUUUUGUCGGUUGCCACCACAGCCGAGAUUCUGAACAUACGGAGUGUAGGUCUUGCUGUGAAGGAAUGAUCUGCAAUGUAGAAUUACCCACCAAUCACACCAAUGCAGUGUUUGCCGUAAUGCACGCUCAGAGAACAUCUGGCAGCAGUGCCCCCACACUCUACCUACCAGUGCUUGCCUGGGUCUUUGUGCUUCCAUUGCUGUGAUGCCACCAUUCCUAGGGGAGGCAGAGACCAGCCUCUAAAGCACAAGCCAAAAACUGUGUGAACGGUGAACUUUGGAGUGAAGAUCAAUCUUGCACUUGGUGAAGAGUGCACAUUGGACCUCAAGGCAAAAGCCAGUGGUUUGCUUGGAUAAAAUGUUCCCGCAUGAGGCCACAGGACUGAGGAUGGGAAUUUGGCAGGGCCUGAGAAGAUGGUCUGACUUCCAGCCUUCCUGGUCAAAGAGAGCUACGUUUGGGCAGUUCUGCAGAGAGGAUCCUGGCAACUAGUCCCACCUGACUAGGCCUUUAGCUGAAAGGAUUUCUUGACCUCCUUGACUGCCUCAGAGGCUGCCAGGUCAAACCCUCUUGUUUAUGUGAUUAGCUCAGAGCGUCUCUAUGAAAUCUAACCCUUCCCCUCAUGAGAAAGCAGUUUUCCCCACCAACAGCAUAGUCAAUGAGAAAGGCAACUGUACGAAGAAAACUUCCAGUUGAACUAAUAUGAAAUCUAUUUGCAAAUUGUGGGGGGAAAUAAAGCUUUUAAAUUAUACAAUGUAAA